This 1540-nucleotide ribosomal RNA is filed under the name Salmonella enterica. Its description in RNAcentral is "bacterial SSU rRNA". It matches the Rfam family "Bacterial small subunit ribosomal RNA". The record is from RNAcentral. Lineage: Bacteria; Pseudomonadati; Pseudomonadota; Gammaproteobacteria; Enterobacterales; Enterobacteriaceae.
AAAUUGAAGAGUUUGAUCAUGGCUCAGAUUGAACGCUGGCGGCAGGCCUAACACAUGCAAGUCGAACGGUAACAGGAAGCAGCUUGCUGCUUUGCUGACGAGUGGCGGACGGGUGAGUAAUGUCUGGGAAACUGCCUGAUGGAGGGGGAUAACUACUGGAAACGGUGGCUAAUACCGCAUAACGUCGCAAGACCAAAGAGGGGGACCUUCGGGCCUCUUGCCAUCAGAUGUGCCCAGAUGGGAUUAGCUAGUUGGUGAGGUAACGGCUCACCAAGGCGACGAUCCCUAGCUGGUCUGAGAGGAUGACCAGCCACACUGGAACUGAGACACGGUCCAGACUCCUACGGGAGGCAGCAGUGGGGAAUAUUGCACAAUGGGCGCAAGCCUGAUGCAGCCAUGCCGCGUGUAUGAAGAAGGCCUUCGGGUUGUAAAGUACUUUCAGCGGGGAGGAAGGUGUUGUGGUUAAUAACCGCAGCAAUUGACGUUACCCGCAGAAGAAGCACCGGCUAACUCCGUGCCAGCAGCCGCGGUAAUACGGAGGGUGCAAGCGUUAAUCGGAAUUACUGGGCGUAAAGCGCACGCAGGCGGUCUGUCAAGUCGGAUGUGAAAUCCCCGGGCUCAACCUCGGGAACUGCAUUCGAAACUGGCAGGCUUGAGUCUUGUAGAGGGGGUAGAAUUCCGGUGUAGCGGUGAAAUGCGUAGAGAUCUGGAGGAAUACCGGUGGCGAAGGCGGCCCCCUGGACAAAGACUGACGCUCAGGUGCGAAAGCGUGGGGAGCAAACAGGAUUAGAUACCCUGGUAGUCCACGCCGUAAACGAUGUCUACUUGGAGGUUGUGCCCUUGAGGCGUGGCUUCCGGAGCUAACGCGUUAAGUAGACCGCCCGGGAGUACGGCCGCAAGGUUAAAACUCAAAUGAAUUGACGGGGGCCCGCACAAGCGGUGGAGCAUGUGGUUUAAUUCGAUGCAACGCGAAGAACCUUACCUGGUCUUGACAUCCACAGAACUUUCCAGAGAUGGAUUGGUGCCUUCGGGAACUGUGAGACAGGUGCUGCAUGGCUGUCGUCAGCUCGUGUUGUGAAAUGUUGGGUUAAGUCCCGCAACGAGCGCAACCCUUAUCCUUUGUUGCCAGCGGUCCGGCCGGGAACUCAAAGGAGACUGCCAGUGAUAAACUGGAGGAAGGUGGGGAUGACGUCAAGUCAUCAUGGCCCUUACGACCAGGGCUACACACGUGCUACAAUGGCGCAUACAAAGAGAAGCGACCUCGCGAGAGCAAGCGGACCUCAUAAAGUGCGUCGUAGUCCGGAUUGGAGUCUGCAACUCGACUCCAUGAAGUCGGAAUCGCUAGUAAUCGUGGAUCAGAAUGCCACGGUGAAUACGUUCCCGGGCCUUGUACACACCGCCCGUCACACCAUGGGAGUGGGUUGCAAAAGAAGUAGGUAGCUUAACCUUCGGGAGGGCGCUUACCACUUUGUGAUUCAUGACUGGGGUGAAGUCGUAACAAGGUAACCGUAGGGGAACCUGCGGUUGGAUCACCUCCUUA